This 254-nucleotide ribosomal RNA is filed under the name uncultured Lactobacillus sp. RNAcentral describes it as "partial 16S ribosomal RNA". It matches the Rfam family "Bacterial small subunit ribosomal RNA", at positions 109 to 354 of the family's 1533-position model. Lineage: Bacteria; Bacillati; Bacillota; Bacilli; Lactobacillales; Lactobacillaceae. The record is from RNAcentral.
AGUAACACGUGGGCAACCUGCCCUGAAGCGGGGGAUAACAUCUGGAAACAGGUGCUAAUACCGCAUAACAACGAAAACCACAUGGUUUUCGUUUCAAAGAUGGUUUUGGCUAUCACUUCAGGAUGGGCCCGCGGUGCAUUAGCUAGUUGGUAAGGUAACGGCUUACCAAGGCGAUGAUGCAUAGCCGAGUUGAGAGACUGAUCGGCCACAAUGGAACUGAGACACGGUCCAUACUCCUACGGGAGGCAGCAGAG